CCUGCACGACAGAUGUUGAACGAACAUAUCUUACGCUAUCUUUUUAAGGUCAAUGACACUUUAAGUUAGACUCGAAGUUAGUGCGGAGCUAGUAGAUAUAUACUGUAUAUCUACAGUCUGUGUCUGUAUAAUAUACAGACACCGUUUCAAUAGUAAAUAGCAAUAGUAGAAACAAUAGUGACAAAAAUCCGUAAUAAACGUACACGACCACGAUUGCUCGAAACAAUUAUUACACCACACCAUCAAGUGAAUGACAACGGAAAAUACAAUUUAUGGUUCCGGAAACUUCACGGUUAACAAUUAAUUUAAAAUAUUAUACAUAAACCACUCAUUCCAGUUAUAACAACAUUGCUGAAUAUUAUUUAAGUUCAACGUUUUACUGUCGAUAUCACAGUAUAAUGAAUCACGAACAAAUAGUAAUGUGCUUCACAUGUUUAUUUAGAACGGGUCAUACGAAAAUACGUGUUAUGACGGUGUUUUUCUAAACCGGAUGGAAAUAUAUUGUAACUAUAGCAGUAAUAUUGAGUGUAUUACGUGUUCACUAGUUGAUACCUAAUGUAUUUAAAUAAAAGUCCUACAAUGUUAAUUGCUAGAAUUCGGUAUGCAACGUCAUAAUAGCAACUCGUUAAGUAAUGAAAGGUCUCUGUAGCCAUGAAUCUAUAAUGAAAACAAAAACCCUCUUUUGCAUUUCUUCAAAAUCUAUCACGCAUAUGCAUAGCAUGAUAAUUCGAUUGCAUUUUUGUAAUCGACAAUAAUGAUUAAUUCUUUUAAUAUUUUUUCAUAUCAAAAAGAAAAAUUAUUAGGUAAAAAUAUAUAGAAAAUUUUAAACAAGCAUAGUGAUACAAUAGACAAUAAUAAUUAAAUCUGUAGAAGUAGUUUUUCUAUAUGAAGCGAUUGACACAGUACAAUUAGUUCGGCGAUUCAUAACUUAGGUAGAAAUAAAAUACAAUUCAUUUCCCUUAAGUUAACCUAAGUCCCCUUAGGUUCGGACAACAUUAGUAUAUAAGGUAAUUCUUCUUCAUUAAAAAAACUAUAUCCGUAUAUCUAUGUAAUCUUAAAAAUAACAUUUUCAGUCAAAUAGUUUAAAGUAAAUUUAUUUAUAAAAUUUAAUAACCAAAUACGUAACUGAAAACCAUCCAAAAAGAAUUUAGAGGAAUGUAAAAUAUUUUAGGGGUUUAUUUACAUGUGUCUAGGAUCUUGAAAAAUAAAUGUUACUAGGAUCCAAAGUCUAAACUAUUACUUACGUUAUAAACACAUUAAUUUAUAUUCACUGAAUUGAUAAUUAAAUAAUUAUUUUUAUUACAUAAAAAAAGUCACACAAUAUGCAUUUCACUUACUAAAUCAGCCAAAGCCGUAGUUACAAAAUUUGGCGAAAAGUUAAACCAAGAAUAGUUUAGAAUAAUUAAUUUGGUGGGGGCUAAUUUAAUUUAAUCCCUCGAACAAUAAUUUCUAUAAAAUUAUGCAAAAAUGUUAAUUAAAAACUAAUAGACCUGGACCUCUUAGUUUCCCUACACGACGCCUACAAAACCAAAUCUUAUAUUUUUCUAGAACGAAUACGCGUUUGCUGCACGAUAGAGGGGAUGAUCCCUUAACCCCUCAAUUACUGGCUUGAAAUCAGAUAUUAUUUAUUUUCAAAAUAUUGAUCAAUACAUAUAUUUUUAGAUUUCAAUAUGUUUAACCAAAUAAAACUCAAA
This is a long non-coding RNA of Daktulosphaira vitifoliae (grape phylloxera), 1694 nucleotides long. RefSeq lists it as uncharacterized. The record is from RefSeq and is a predicted model, not a curated record. The transcript is spliced from 3 exons. NCBI's taxonomy places the organism in Eukaryota, Metazoa, Arthropoda, Insecta, Hemiptera, Phylloxeridae.